UCCUAUUUACAUUUGGGUCUGAGGGAUGGUAAAUAGAUUUCCCUCCACUUUAUUACUAUUUUUUUCCUGAUGGAGAGGCUGAUUCCCACGACUUAAAUAUCUUCAAUCAAUCAAUUAUUGGGCUUUUAUAUGUAUGGAUAGAUUUUAGUCACGGUUUCCGAAUGUUUCCAUCUAUUUCCAAGUUCCUUUUUUCGUUUCUUUCUAUAGUCUUUUUGAAACAUUAAUGUUUCCAUGCAUACUGACAUGACACUGGGUUGGAAUUUUGAUCCUUGCUGUUGUAAGGUAAUCUUUUUAAAAACCAAUAUCUACUCAUUAAUGAAUGAACAAAAAUGAAAAGAAAAAAUCAUCUCGAACAACAAAGACCUGGUAGUUCUUCAUCUUUAUAUGUGUAUGUGUGUAUUUACUCAUCUUUAUGUGUAUGUGUGUAUGUUUCUUUAUAUUUGUUGGUGGAAUUGAGGUAAUGCUUCUCUAUGCAUUUGAAUUCAAAAACAUAUAUUUGUAGAGCUCUUCAUGGGCAUCUUCUUACUGUCUGCCUUUGCUGUAAUUAGUAAUAUAGAAUUCAACUGUUGACUCACUGGAAUUGGUUUCAAUGUUUUUGGUUUUUGGUUUCUUCUUUUGCUUUUAAAGUUAUGAUUUUGGGGGAUAUGGUUAGACUUCUCAAGACAGUUUUUGGGUUAGGAUUUAUUUUAUUUUAUUUUUUAUGUUGUUAUUAAAUUUCAUCACCUUUGGAUACUUUGACCAUUUUAAUUAUUUUCUUGUGUAUCAGACUUCAAUAUAGUAAUAAUAUCCUUCUGAGGUGGUCCACUUAUCCUGAUGAGCUGAGCUGACCCUUUUUCUUCUCUCUUUUGUGUUGUUGAAUAGUUUUGACAAUUUUAUGCAACUUGUGAUUGGUACAUUAUGAACACCCAUGAGCUGAGUUGAGCUAACCUGGAGCUGAGCUGCACCUUUGGACUCUAUUUCGUCUUCGCUUGCCAAUUGCUCCUCCUCCAACCACUCAUCUUUGGCCUAGGGAAGUACAUAUAUUUUUCUUGCAAAGAUUGACAAUUUACUUGGGGUGAUCCCAACUAUAUGUAUGGAUCAGUUCUGAUUCAAUUGAGAUGGGAAUAUCCUGGCUUAAUACUCGAGCAUUAUGAACUCUGAAGUCUAAAGAAAAGUGAAAACUGAUUCAGGGUGAUCCAGGGCUAAAGACAGGGUGUUCAUAGUGAACACUCACCUUACCAAUUUACGGGUAUUCAGAGUUUGUUUUGCUUGCCGCCAAGGAUAAAGAGUGGUUACCUGCAGUGAGGCAUAAUAAGUUUCCAAAUAGAGUCUCAACAUGCAAAUGUUGGAGCUUGAUAUACAUUUUAAGCCCAUUCCUGGACAGCUUAAGCUUUUGAGGUAAUUGGUUACAUAACAGUACAAUUUACUGUUGUAGAUUAAUAAGCUUUUCUAGUCAAAAGUAACUUGUGAGUACCUAAAGUAACAAGGCAUUGGAAUCGUGGAGGGUUUCUGUCUCAUUUCAUUAGUGAAAUAAAGCUUCAAAGAGUUGCUAUUUAUGAGCGAGUAUUAAGAGAGUUCCAAUGUAAGGCUGGUUUAAAGAUUUCAGUUAUUUGCUUUCAUGAUGUCCUACUUUAACGGGCAUGACUCCUUUUGGAUUGUGAUUGCAGUGUUGACAAGCAAUGCAACUUUUCCAGACAAGAUACCAUCGUCUAGCUCUUCUUUGUUUGAUCAGCAAUCAACUGACGCAUCUUCCUCUGGACUCAAAUGAAUGAGCUAACGGAGCACAUGGAGGCAGCAACUUUUGCACCCUCGAACCCAUUAUAUAGACAGCAGGUUGCUGAUUCACUUAGUAGUCAUCCCACUGUUCGGCCAAUGUCACAUCAACAACAAUCUCCUGCAUUUUCAUCCCAAG
Camellia sinensis is the source of this 1891-nucleotide non-coding RNA. The record is from RefSeq and is a predicted model, not a curated record. Lineage: Eukaryota; Viridiplantae; Streptophyta; Magnoliopsida; Ericales; Theaceae.